UACGAAGGGAGCUAGCGUUGUUCGGAAUUACUGGGCGUAAAGGGCGCGUAGGCGGUUUUAUAAGUUUGGUGUGAAAGCCCUGGGCUUAACCUAGGAAUAGCAUUAGAUACUGUAAGACUUGAGACCGAGAGAGGGAAAUGGAAUUGCGAGUGUAGAGGUGAAAUUCGUAGAUAUUCGCAAGAACACCAGUGGCGAAGGCGAUUUCCUGGCUCGGUACUGACGCUAAGGCGCGAAAGCGUGGGGAGCAAACAGG
RNAcentral lists this ribosomal RNA (253 nucleotides) under uncultured bacterium. Its description in RNAcentral is "partial 16S ribosomal RNA". It matches the Rfam family "Bacterial small subunit ribosomal RNA", at positions 524 to 776 of the family's 1533-position model. The record is from RNAcentral.